Long non-coding RNA from Astatotilapia calliptera (eastern happy), 1345 nucleotides. The record is from Ensembl. NCBI's taxonomy places the organism in Eukaryota, Metazoa, Chordata, Actinopteri, Cichliformes, Cichlidae.
CGUCAAGAUCAUGGGAGAGAAGACACUCAAAGGUGCAGGUGUCUCCCUCGAGGACAGCCGUCGUCUUCAAACGCUGGACAAUUGUAAUGUUGAAUGGAUGAUCAAAGCCAUGGACUUCCCAAACUGGAGCAGCUCGUGUUUGUCAUCAGCUGUCAGAACUACACCGUCCUUCUUCCAAGCAGGGCUCGCCGUCUCUUUGGAAAUCUCACACUGAAGACAAAGCUCCCCUUGCUCCUCUCCAACUGCAUCCUCCAGAGGCCUCAGGAACACUGCUGGGCAUUCUGGGACACAUUACAGGACGGAUCCGGCAGUCAUCUCUGUACCACCGACCAUCCACAUCCAUCUGGCUGACCUCGCACACGAAGGUUACAGGUUGACGCUCGACUGUGUCGACAUCUUCCAGCUCCUUCACGAUGUGAAUGUCCCUAGCUGGCAGGAAAUAUCCACACUAUGACUCGAAACUUAGUGAAAGUAACCAAAGAGAGCUUUUUGCCACUAAAAUAUUGGCUAACUGCAAUCUGACAUAUUACUCCAUAUCAUUAUUUAUUUAUUGAACUAAAUGGCCUGUAUUUGUAUAGCUUUCCUAGUCCCUAAGGACCCAAAGUGCUUUACACAUCCAGUCAUCCACCCAUUCACACACACAUCCACACACUGGUGAUGGCAGCUACAUUGUAGCCACAGCCACCCUGGGGCGCACUGACAGAGGCGAGGCUGCCGGACACUGGCGCCACCGGGCCCUCUGACCACCACCAGUAGGCAACGGGUGAAGUGUCUUGCCCAAGGACACAAGGACCGAGACUGUCCAAGCCGGGGCUCGAACCGGCAACCGUCCGAUUACAAGACGAACUCCCAACUCUGAGCCACGAUCGCCUGAACGAACUAAAAUGAAAGACGGUGCGCUGUGACUGUAUGUUCUGCGGUUCCAUAGCUUUGUUGGGUUCAUAACACUGAUUAACACCGUCUGUCCAAGUCCAGCAGUUGUUGGACAUUUCAACUACAGCAUGCACUUCACUGCAGAAACUACAGCCUCUUAAAGACACGUAUGAACCUCGAGUUAGUGGUUCAGGUUAUCGAAGCCCCGGAGAAAGUCACUGACCUGAUUUUGGGAUCUAACACAGAGAUGGUCUGGGCCAUAUAAAAACAUUCAAUCCUGUGAGCAUGCAAGUAGUUCUGUCACAUUACCUCUGACAGUGAGUCGGCCUGAGGUCUGAAUGCCAUUAGCUUGGAAGGAGAACAAACCGGCAUCUCCCAAAGCCACCCUGUUCAGUAAGAGGGAGUGUUUCUUCCCGUGUGUGCUGAUGCGACAGUUGGGUUUAGAUUUGAGCUGCGUCCCAUCCCUCAUCCA